RNAcentral lists this long non-coding RNA (248 nucleotides) under Ictidomys tridecemlineatus (thirteen-lined ground squirrel). Its description in RNAcentral is "lncRNA (ENSSTOG00000029407.1)". The record is from RNAcentral. Lineage: Eukaryota; Metazoa; Chordata; Mammalia; Rodentia; Sciuridae.
AUAAGAGCGGCAAAAAAGGAUAUUUUGGAAGAACUGAGAGUGGCACAGACUUCGGGCCAGUCAAGAGAGGAACAAUGCAGAGCCCAAGCACAUGACCACAGAACAUUAAAGACAUUCCCAGAAGCAAGUUGAAAGGAAGAUUUUGCGGCAUCCCUACUUCUCAGCAGUAGAGGUAUAAUUUUUAGUUCUGAGAGUCCCCCCUUACAGGCUUUUCUGAAGUUGUAUUUUCUUCCAAAAUAUGAAAAAUU